GAAAAACCCCGAGGGCUCAACCCUCGGGCCUGCAGUGGGUACGGGCCAGAACUAGAGUGCGGUAGGGGAGAUUGGAAUUUCCUGGUGUAGCGGUGGAAUGCGCCAGAUAUCAGGAGGAACCCCGAUGGGCGAAGGCAGAUCUCUGGGGCCGUAACUGACGCUGAGGAGCGAAAGGGUGGGGAGCAAACAGGCUUAGAUACCCUGGUAGUCCACCCCGUAAACGUUGGGAACUAGUUGUGGGGUCCAUUCCACGGAUUCCGUGACGCAGCUAACGCAUUAAGUUCCCCGCCUGGGGAGUACGGCCGCAAGGCUAAAACUCAAAGGAAUUGACGGGGACCCGCACAAGCGGCGGAGCAUGCGGAUUAAUUCGAUGCAACGCGAAGAACCUUACCAAGGCUUGACAUAUACGAGAACGGGCCAGAAAUGGUCAACUCUUUGGACACUCGUAAACAGGUGGUGCAUGGUUGUCGUCAGCUCGUGUCGUGAGAUGUUGGGUUAAGUCCCGCAACGAGCGCAACCCUCGUUCUAUGUUGCCAGCACGUAAUGGUGGGAACUCAUGGGAUACUGCCGGGGUCAACUCGGAGGAAGGUGGGGAUGACGUCAAAUCAUCAUGCCCCUUAUGUCUUGGGCUUCACGCAUGCUACAAUGGCCGGUACAAAGGGCUGCAAUACCGCAAGGUGGAGCGAAUCCCAAAAAGCCGGUCCCAGUUCGGAUUGAGGUCUGCAACUCGACCUCAUGAAGUCGGAGUCGCUAGUAAUCGCAGAUCAUGCAA
This 772-nucleotide ribosomal RNA is filed under the name Microbacterium sp. 845C1b. Its description in RNAcentral is "bacterial SSU rRNA". It matches the Rfam family "Bacterial small subunit ribosomal RNA", at positions 594 to 1355 of the family's 1533-position model. The record is from RNAcentral. Lineage: Bacteria; Bacillati; Actinomycetota; Actinomycetes; Micrococcales; Microbacteriaceae.